Molecule: ribosomal RNA, 265 nt
Filed under: uncultured bacterium
Lineage: Bacteria
Description: partial 16S ribosomal RNA
Rfam family: Bacterial small subunit ribosomal RNA
Source: RNAcentral
GUCCACGCCCUAAACGAUGAUGACUAGUUGUUGGGGGAGUUAAAUCCCUUAGUAACGCAGCUAACGCGUGAAGUCAUCCGCCUGGGGAGUACGGUCGCAAGAUUAAAACUCAAAGGAAUUGACGGGGCCCGCACAAGCGGUGGAUGAUGUGGUUUAAUUCGACGCAACGCGAAAAACCUUACCUACCCUUGACAUGUGAGGAACGCUGCAGAGAUGCAGCGGUGCCCGAAAGGGAACCUCAACACAGGUGCUGCAUGGCUGUCGU